GACGAACGCUGGCGGCGUGCUUAACACAUGCAAGUCGAACGGAAAGGCCCCUUUGGGGGUACUCGAGUGGCGAACGGGUGAGUAACACGUGAGUAAACUGCCCUUGACUUCGGGAUAACUUCAGGAAACUGGGGCUAAUACCGGAUAGGAAUCCUUGCUGCAUGGUGGGGGUUGGAAAGCUUCGGCGGUUUUGGAUGGACUCGCGGCUUAUCAGCUUGUUGGUGGGGUAGUGGCUUACCAAGGCUUUGACGGGUAGCCGGCCUGAGAGGGCGACCGGCCACAUUGGGACUGAGAUACGGCCCAGACUCCUACGGGAGGCAGCAGUGGGGAAUAUUGCACAAUGGGCGGAAGCCUGAUGCAGCAACGCCGCGUGCGGGAUGACGGCCUUCGGGUUGUAAACCGCUUUCAGCAGGGGCGAAGCUUGUGGUGACGGUACCUGCAGAAGAAGCACCGGCUAACUACGUG
This 465-nucleotide ribosomal RNA is filed under the name uncultured bacterium. RNAcentral's name for it is "partial 16S ribosomal RNA". It matches the Rfam family "Bacterial small subunit ribosomal RNA", at positions 28 to 507 of the family's 1533-position model. The record is from RNAcentral.